GACGAACGCUGGCGGCGUGCUUAACACAUGCAAGUCGAACGGAAAGGCCCUGCUUGCAGGGUACUCGAGUGGCGAACGGGUGAGUAACACGUGGGUGAUCUGCCCUGCACUUCGGGAUAAGCCUGUGAAACUGGGUCUAAUACCGGAUAGGAGCCAUUUUUAGUGUGAUGGUUGGAAAGUUUUUUCGGUGUAGGAUGAGCUCGCGGCCUAUCAGCUUGUUGGUGGGGUAAUGGCCUACCAAGGCGGCGACGGGUAGCCGGCCUGAGAGGGUGGACGGCCACAUUGGGACUGAGAUACGGCCCAGGCUCCUACGGGAGGCAGCAGUGGGGAAUAUUGCACAAUGGGCGCAAGCCUGAUGCAGCGACGCCGCGUGGGGGAUGACGGCCUUCGGGUUGUAAACUCCUUUCGCUAGGGACGAAGCUUUUUGUGACGGUACCUAGAUAAGAAGCCCCGGCUAACUACGUG
RNAcentral lists this ribosomal RNA (465 nucleotides) under uncultured bacterium. RNAcentral's name for it is "partial 16S ribosomal RNA". It matches the Rfam family "Bacterial small subunit ribosomal RNA", at positions 28 to 507 of the family's 1533-position model. The record is from RNAcentral.